AGUUUGAUCCUGGCUCAGAACGAACGCUGGCGGCAGGCUUAACACAUGCAAGUCGAACGCCCCGCAAGGGGAGUGGCAGACGGGUGAGUAACGCGUGGGAACAUACCCUUUCCUGCGGAAUAGCUCCGGGAAACUGGAAUUAAUACCGCAUACGCCCUACGGGGGAAAGAUUUAUCGGGGAAGGAUUGGCCCGCGUUGGAUUAGCUAGUUGGUGGGGUAAAGGCCUACCAAGGCGACGAUCCAUAGCUGGUCUGAGAGGAUGAUCAGCCACAUUGGGACUGAGACACGGCCCAAACUCCUACGGGAGGCAGCAGUGGGGAAUAUUGGACAAUGGGCGCAAGCCUGAUCCAGCCAUGCCGCGUGAGUGAUGAAGGCCUUAGGGUUGUAAAGCUCUUUCACCGAUGAAGAUAAUGACGGUAGUCGGAGAAGAAGCCCCGGCUAACUUCGUGCCAGCAGCCGCGGUAA
This 465-nucleotide ribosomal RNA is filed under the name uncultured bacterium. RNAcentral describes it as "bacterial SSU rRNA". It matches the Rfam family "Bacterial small subunit ribosomal RNA", at positions 10 to 523 of the family's 1533-position model. The record is from RNAcentral.